This 74-nucleotide transfer RNA is filed under the name Paracoccaceae bacterium. RNAcentral's name for it is "Rhodobacteraceae bacterium tRNA-Lys". It matches the Rfam family "tRNA". From Rfam's summary of the family: Transfer RNA (tRNA) molecules are approximately 80 nucleotides in length. Their secondary structure includes four short double-helical elements and three loops (D, anti-codon, and T loops). The record is from RNAcentral. Lineage: Bacteria; Pseudomonadati; Pseudomonadota; Alphaproteobacteria; Rhodobacterales; Paracoccaceae.
GCCCGGUUAGCUCAGUUGGUCAGAGCGCAUGACUUUUAAUCAUGUGGUCGGGGGUUCAAGUCCCCCAUCGGGCG